Molecule: ribosomal RNA, 1347 nt
Filed under: Enterococcus durans
Lineage: Bacteria; Bacillati; Bacillota; Bacilli; Lactobacillales; Enterococcaceae
Description: bacterial SSU rRNA
Rfam family: Bacterial small subunit ribosomal RNA
Source: RNAcentral
CUUCUUUUUCACCGGAGCUUGCUCCACCGGAAAAAGAAGAGUGGCGAACGGGUGAGUAACACGUGGGUAACCUGCCCAUCAGAAGGGGAUAACACUUGGAAACAGGUGCUAAUACCGUAUAACAAUCGAAACCGCAUGGUUUUGAUUUGAAAGGCGCUUUCGGGUGUCGCUGAUGGAUGGACCCGCGGUGCAUUAGCUAGUUGGUGAGGUAACGGCUCACCAAGGCCACGAUGCAUAGCCGACCUGAGAGGGUGAUCGGCCACAUUGGGACUGAGACACGGCCCAAACUCCUACGGGAGGCAGCAGUAGGGAAUCUUCGGCAAUGGACGAAAGUCUGACCGAGCAACGCCGCGUGAGUGAAGAAGGUUUUCGGAUCGUAAAACUCUGUUGUUAGAGAAGAACAAGGAUGAGAGUAACUGUUCAUCCCUUGACGGUAUCUAACCAGAAAGCCACGGCUAACUACGUGCCAGCAGCCGCGGUAAUACGUAGGUGGCAAGCGUUGUCCGGAUUUAUUGGGCGUAAAGCGAGCGCAGGCGGUUUCUUAAGUCUGAUGUGAAAGCCCCCGGCUCAACCGGGGAGGGUCAUUGGAAACUGGGAGACUUGAGUGCAGAAGAGGAGAGUGGAAUUCCAUGUGUAGCGGUGAAAUGCGUAGAUAUAUGGAGGAACACCAGUGGCGAAGGCGGCUCUCUGGUCUGUAACUGACGCUGAGGCUCGAAAGCGUGGGGAGCAAACAGGAUUAGAUACCCUGGUAGUCCACGCCGUAAACGAUGAGUGCUAAGUGUUGGAGGGUUUCCGCCCUUCAGUGCUGCAGCUAACGCAUUAAGCACUCCGCCUGGGGAGUACGACCGCAAGGUUGAAACUCAAAGGAAUUGACGGGGGCCCGCACAAGCGGUGGAGCAUGUGGUUUAAUUCGAAGCAACGCGAAGAACCUUACCAGGUCUUGACAUCCUUUGACCACUCUAGAGAUAGAGCUUCCCCUUCGGGGGCAAAGUGACAGGUGGUGCAUGGUUGUCGUCAGCUCGUGUCGUGAGAUGUUGGGUUAAGUCCCGCAACGAGCGCAACCCUUAUUGUUAGUUGCCAUCAUUUAGUUGGGCACUCUAGCAAGACUGCCGGUGACAAACCGGAGGAAGGUGGGGAUGACGUCAAAUCAUCAUGCCCCUUAUGACCUGGGCUACACACGUGCUACAAUGGGAAGUACAACGAGUCGCGAAGUCGCGAGGCUAAGCUAAUCUCUUAAAGCUUCUCUCAGUUCGGAUUGUAGGCUGCAACUCGCCUACAUGAAGCCGGAAUCGCUAGUAAUCGCGGAUCAGCACGCCGCGGUGAAUACGUUCCCGGGCCUUGUACACA